UGUGAAUGUGUUUUGAAAGCAGCAUGUUGGCACUUGCCUUCUCUGUCAAUUUUUCUACAUUUCUUGGAGUACAUCACGACUGCAGCGACGAUCAACAGAGAUCCAGCAGCAGCAGAAACCAACACUUUGUGGAACAAAGGAGAGAGUCACGUGACCCAUGUUCACCGCCGAACACAACAACGAACAAGAUGAUGAUGAAGAUGAUGAUGAACAGUUUGAAGAGUUACUGCUGACAACAGGAACAGGAAGACGAGCUGAGAACAUACAAGUAAUUUACAAUCACAACCAAAGGCCUGGAAAAAGCAGAGACCUCAGCAGACGGAAAUAAUCCAAUCUGAAUUGCAGCAGUUGCUUUGUUAGCAAACAAAAGAUGCAACACAUCACGGCUGCAGCUACAAUCAAAAGAAGUCCAGCAGCAGCAGAGAUCAACACUAUGUGCAAUAAAGGUAGGCCUGGAAUCGACAAAUGAGUGAAUAUCUGAUCUGCA
This is a long non-coding RNA of Puntigrus tetrazona (Sumatra barb), 487 nucleotides long. RefSeq lists it as uncharacterized. The record is from RefSeq and is a predicted model, not a curated record. NCBI's taxonomy places the organism in Eukaryota, Metazoa, Chordata, Actinopteri, Cypriniformes, Cyprinidae. The transcript is spliced from 4 exons.